RNAcentral lists this long non-coding RNA (529 nucleotides) under Zonotrichia albicollis (white-throated sparrow). Its description in RNAcentral is "lncRNA (ENSZALG00000001429.1)". The record is from RNAcentral. Lineage: Eukaryota; Metazoa; Chordata; Aves; Passeriformes; Passerellidae.
UGUUGGUAAGGAAACCCAAACCUUUCCAUAAUAGUUUCAGGGCAGGUGUUGUUCCAGGCAGGGGAACUGAUCUUGGCAGGCAGCGCAUGGCAAAGAAAGAAAACUCCCAUUUCAGAUGGAUAGCCAGUCUGUACUCAGGCAGGAGAUGUUCUCCUGUGAACAGAAAGAAAAUAUUCCCCCCUUGGUGACUCACCUGAUCAGACUCUGCUUGAAAAAGCAUCUGACCUUGAAGCUGCUGCUGUGGAAUAGCUUUAUGUGGAGUUUUUGCCCAUGUGGAGAAGAAAAGGCAUUUCUUGUGUUCCGUGCAAGUGAACCUUUCCAAGGAGUUCUUUUUCAUGAAAAAUGGACGCCUGGCUCAGAGUAAAGGACAUGCAGUGCACAAUCCCUAGCAGAAGCUGAAAAUGGAUGAUGUCUACUGAUGCUUUUCAAUGAUGUCAUCUCCUCUUUUUCUGUUUGAGAUGGGUGAUAGGAAAAUGUUCUAAAAUAAGACUGAGUGACCUCUUCAUCCCUUGACUUCUCUUUCCACGAG